GUUUAGAAGAUACUGUAAAAUUGCAAAAAAAUAUAGAUCAGGAAAUCAUCAUUUGUUUACUUUUUGGAACAUGGAAGUGAUCUUCUAGAAGUUUAUUGGAUACUUCGUGUCUAGUUGAAGGAUAGAGACUAAAGUCCGAUUGUUUUUUUUUAACUAUUUGAAUAUUUUUCUUCAUAACAAAUUUAUUUUCAUCAUAAACCAC
This 202-nucleotide long non-coding RNA is filed under the name Mytilus galloprovincialis (Mediterranean mussel). Lineage: Eukaryota; Metazoa; Mollusca; Bivalvia; Mytilida; Mytilidae. The record is from RNAcentral.